CGCGGGUGGAACUUGCUAACAUAGGUUCGCUGGCUUGAACUUUGUUCAUCAGUGACAAGAGAAUUAUCGCUUUGGAGUUAAGUCCAACUUGUGGAGAGAAAGAAGGAUGGGAAAUAUUUGGUUGUCUGUGGGUAUCAAAACAAAAAUAGGGUCGCGGGAGUGUCCGGCGCGCCGCCGACCCCUAGCGGACGGCCCGCGAACUGAAACUCCGAGCACCGGGCCACUCACUAACCGUGGCCACUUGCCGCCAGAACCGCGCCCAGGACGCCCGCCGCCUGCUCGCUGAGCAUCCUGUGUGGAGCGUCGAGCGUCGAGCGCCCAGCCGGCAGCCGUGAGCGCCUGUCUCUACUCGUUGCUGCUCCUCUUGCUCCUGCCCUGUCGCCGUCCAGGCCCCCACUUCGCACACAACUCUCUCCGGGAACGCUCGGAAAAGCACCAAGACUGCUGCUCAGCCAGCUUGGCCCUUCCUCGCUGGCGACCGACCGACGACAGCAAGACCAAACCCGCAAACUCUGAACGCUCGCUGCCUUUCGUCUCCACCGGCCCUCCGCCCUCCCGGAGCUCAAGCCCUCGCUGACAAUUCUCCACUCCUCCUCCUCCUCAAGCGAGCCCGGAGUCUCAGGGAAAGCACCCCGUCCUCCAACCUAGAGCUCCUCCAACACCCACAGCUCUGCUCUUCUUUCUUCCCUUUCUGGAAGGCCUGGGCCUUGGGACACAAGACCACCCUGAACAAGGUCAGUCUCCAGGGCCAGGAGCCGGCACCUACACUUUGACCCACAGAGACCCCACACUGGAGCCCAACGCCCAGGCGGACUGGGACUGGCCGUGCUAGCCUUG
This 837-nucleotide long non-coding RNA is filed under the name Rattus norvegicus (Norway rat). RNAcentral's name for it is "long non-coding RNA NONRATT020425". The record is from RNAcentral. Lineage: Eukaryota; Metazoa; Chordata; Mammalia; Rodentia; Muridae.